Molecule: long non-coding RNA, 1136 nt
Organism: Homo sapiens (human)
Lineage: Eukaryota; Metazoa; Chordata; Mammalia; Primates; Hominidae
Gene: ZNF236-DT
Product: ZNF236 divergent transcript
Source: Ensembl
AGCCCCGCGCCUCCGUGGCCCGGGCGUCUCGUGCGUGUCCGCGAACUCGCGUGCGCGCGUCACCUCGGACCGCAGCAUGGCUCGGAGGGCGGCCCUACUCGCGCCGCCCUAGUGCUGCGAAGGGCCUCGGAGCCCAAACCCGGAACCGCCAUCUGGGACUGGGAAGACGACAUGGCCAGAAGCCGACUGGACAGCCGGCACCACCCCAUGAUUCAAGGAUGGCCAUAGCCCAGUGCAGGAGCAGAUUUGCUUCCAGUUUGCCCUUCCUCCUAGCUGAACUCCAGGCUCCAGCCCAGAGAAGCAAGAAAAGAGCAAACAGAAGUUAUUCACAUGUGCAUCAGGUGGAGUCUCGCUCUGUCACCCAGGCUGAGGUUGCAGUGAGCCGAGAUGACACCACUGGACUCCAGCCUGGGCUAUAGAACAAGACUCCCUUUAAAAAGAAAAAAAAAUUCAUGAUCUGGAAGCCCGAGUGUAGCUAACUGGUGGACAGAUGAAAGUGAAAUGUGUGAUGUUUCCUAAGACCCCCUAAGACUUCCCUGAGCCACGGGAGGCUCUCACGAGUGUGUAAGCCAGGGUUUUGGGGAAGGGGUGGAUGUGUGUGUCUCGCAUUUUCCCAGCUGCCUCUCCUUUCCCCUUCUUCCUUGCUCCCGGAGACUUCCUUGUGGAUUCCUUCCCAGAACUUGGUCUGAAUUCCCUAAUAGACAUUCUCCUAGCGGGAUGAGUCCCCCUUUACAGCACUCGGGAAAUGCCUGCUCCUCUAGCUGUCUCUGAUCCACCUCUCCUGUCUUUCAACUAAGGCCCCCACAUGCCAGACCAUCGUUGGUGGACCUCGUCACCAGCAUGAAGUGGGCUCUUGGAGUUGUCGACUGACUAGUUCACAAUUAGUGACUCAUAGCAUCUCACUCAUUUCCUUUUCAUCAGUAGGAGGCAGCAGUCUGCACUUUUGCAUCACAUUUCAAAGACAUCUGUGUGUUUGUUCUCGUGCAGAACACUUUGACUAUUGUAACCUCUAGGUCCAUGAAUGACCCUCAUCUUCAGUAAAAGUGGAUUCACGCUGGCAAAGUCUGCUUUGUUUUAUUGUGACACAUGGAACAUUAUGGAUUUUGGUGAAUAAAAACUAACUUAAAUUGAAGUCA